Molecule: long non-coding RNA, 1266 nt
Filed under: Numida meleagris (helmeted guineafowl)
Lineage: Eukaryota; Metazoa; Chordata; Aves; Galliformes; Numididae
Description: lncRNA (ENSNMEG00000018549.1)
Source: RNAcentral
CUGCCCGGGCUGCGGGGGCCGGCGGGCUGGCGUAAAAGCGUGCGCUUCCCCCCGCGCCGAAGGGCAGGUGGCGGCGACCCGCCAUGGAGAAGGCGGCGGCCGCGGAGCUCCGGCAGGGCGCGCUGGUGCCGCUCACCGCCAUCUGCCUGGUGAAUCUCUUUCUGACUGGGAAAACAGAAAGUGCUGUUACCUCAUUAGGUAAGAUAUACUUUUCUUAUUUGUAUUUGUUGGUUUUUUGGAGUUGUUACUGUUUCUUUGCUGUUUGAAGACUUGUUUAAGUAAAGCGGUAUGACCUUUGAGAAAGGGUAACAAUGACAUUUUAGGAAGCUUAGAACUUUUAAAUCUUGUUGGAAUGGUUAUUGGACUCCGGCAGUGUCGCUGUGCUGGAAAAAAAUCUUAAGCUUGAGGCUAAGGUCACAGUAUGUGCUGAUAUGUUUGGGGGACAGUCUGUGUAUAGGAGAUGUGCCUGGGAAUAUCAAGCUGGGGGCAGAGGCCCAUUCCCAGAGGAGCUAAAACCAGAAUGUUAAGAACAUCUUGUGAGUCUUAGAGUGGAAAUUCAAUCAGAGUCCUGGCACUUAGUGUAAUUUCCUUCUCUGUAGUAGUGCUGUGGCUUGCUGAUGUUACUGGAGCAGUAUAAUCAGACUCCUCUUAGUGAUAAGGGUCCUCUUGUGCCUUUCAAUCCACAGUCACGUUGGUAGGCAUACUUUACGCGUAAAGAGGUUACAACUUAAAUUAAAACAUCAUAACCAAAUAUGGGAAGCAGGAGAAAAGGAAAUGAGAAAACACAAAAAUAAUUCUAAGGCAGCGGCUUGAUUAAUGUGGGAGUUUGAGUAUUCAAAUCAACAUGGAGUUUUGAGAGAAUGUUUAAAUUGGGAAAAGUGGUAAUUGUAUGAUUAGGUGACUUCCUUAAGCUUAGUUUAGAGCAGCUUGGAUGACCACAUAGGGUGUGUGUUUUUUGCAACACUAAAUUUCCAUUCUUCUAUUAGAAAAAUUCCAGAGUGUGAUCUGUGUCUUGAUCUGUUCUGCCUGGAUUGUUCUUUGCUUCUGAUGGAGUUUGGUAUCCCCUGGCUUUAUGGUAUUUUAGUUUACGAAGCGUAACUUGAGUAAUUGUACAGUGGCUGGCCUAGAUUGGUACCACUACCUCAGCCUGAAAUAUGUAACACUUCUUCAAGCUGGCUCUGCUCCUUUCUAAUGCUGUCCUUUUGCUAGAAACAGGGUUGUAACAUUGCACUUUUACUCUUUCGAGUGUGUGGAAAACCUUACAGU